UCCUACCACAGCCAUAUAUACAUGCUUGCUAGACUUUGAGCCACACAUUUACUUUUUACUGCUUAUGAGCAUUGAGUAUGGUCAAGCUGUGUAGACCCUUAGGAGCUUGUCAUGUGGUUAAAUCAAGAUUCACUUGCACGUUCACUCAUACAUGCUACUUCGACUCUAGAAGUACGCAUCCACAUACAUCCACUCAAUUCCAUCUCCAGAUUCACAUAAAAUUAUUCUACUCCUAAUCCGGGAGAGAAUAGCCAAAAACAUUAUCCUAUCCCUGUUAUUCCCUGUGAAAUAAAUGCUCGAGUUAUCUUGGUUACUACCACUUGCUAUAUUAUUUAAGGAGAUGAGUGCUCUAAAAAAAAGAGGAUACGAGGAAAUAAAAAGGAGCAAGUGCCCGAAACCUCGAAGAAAAGAAAAAGUGAGACGAGAGGUAAAAAUAGACAAGUGUCCGACAGUAGAAUUAGGGGUACAAUAUACCCACCUGAGAGGAAAGAAAAAAGAAAAUAUAGAGCAUCUCUUUCUCCCCAAAAAGCUUCAAAGUGCAAUAUCCCCUCAAAAGAGCAAAAGUAGAAUUAGACUUUCACCAUUAUUAUCACCAUCAUCACCAUACACCAUUCAUUCACCACACAUGCACAUCUUGAUUUGACUUAUUGACUCGUUUCUCUGGAUCCAUGGCUUGACUAUGCAAUAAAUGUCUUGUAAGUAUGUAUUAGCUGUCUCCCACCUAUGAGCUCCAGAUAUCAAUAC
RNAcentral lists this long non-coding RNA (744 nucleotides) under Sorghum bicolor (sorghum). Its description in RNAcentral is "long non-coding RNA (SBIC_LNC014292)". The record is from RNAcentral. Lineage: Eukaryota; Viridiplantae; Streptophyta; Magnoliopsida; Poales; Poaceae.